UGGGUUUAAGGGUGCGUAGGCGGCUUAUUAAGUCAGGGGUGAAAGACGGUGGCUCAACCAUCGCACUGCCCUUGAUACUGAUGAGCUUGAAUACACUAGAGGUAGGCGGAAUGUGACAAGUAGCGGUGAAAUGCAUAGAUAUGUCACAGAACACCGAUUGCGAAGGCAGCUUACUAUGGUGUCAUUGACGCUGAGGCACGAAAGCGUGGGGAUCAAACAGGAUUAGAUACCCUGGUAGUCCACGCCCUAAACGAUGAAUACUCGCUGUUAGCGAUACACAGUUAGCGGCUAAGCGAAAGCGUUAAGUAUUCCACCUGGGGAGUACGCCCGCAAGGGUGAAACUCAAAGGAAUUGACGGGGGCCCGCACAAGCGGAGGAGCAUGUGGUUUAAUUCGAUGAUACGCGAGGAACCUUACCCGGGCUUGAAAGUUAGUGAAUGAGAUAGAGAUAUUUCAGUGAGCAAUCACACGAAACUAGGUGCUGCAUGGCUGUCGUCAGCUCGUGCCGUGAGGUGUUGGGUUAAGUCCCGCAACGAGCGCAACCCCUAUGUUUAGUUGCCAGCACGUUAAGGUGGGGACUCUAAACAGACUGCCUGUGCAAACAAAGAGGAAGGAGGGGACGACGUCAAGUCAUCAUGGCCCUUACGUCCGGGGCUACACACGUGCUACAAUGGAUGGUACAGAGGGCAGCAAGCUGGCAACAGCAAGCAAAUCUCAAAAAGCCAUUCACAGUUCGGAUAGAGGUCUGCAACUCGACCUCUUGAAGUUGGAUUCGCUAGUAAUCGCGUAUCACAAUGACACGGUGAAUACGUUCCCGGGCCUU
Molecule: ribosomal RNA, 822 nt
Filed under: Pedobacter sp. MOA1-16
Lineage: Bacteria; Pseudomonadati; Bacteroidota; Sphingobacteriia; Sphingobacteriales; Sphingobacteriaceae
Description: bacterial SSU rRNA
Rfam family: Bacterial small subunit ribosomal RNA
Source: RNAcentral